GGCAGUGGUGGCUCAACGGUUAAGGCUCUGGGUUACUGAUCAGAAGGUUGGGUAUUCGAGCCCCAGCACUGCCA
This is a non-coding RNA of Pangasius djambal, 74 nucleotides long. The record is from the annotation of a GenBank genome assembly. NCBI's taxonomy places the organism in Eukaryota, Metazoa, Chordata, Actinopteri, Siluriformes, Pangasiidae.